This is a long non-coding RNA of Podarcis muralis (Common wall lizard), 344 nucleotides long. RefSeq lists it as uncharacterized. Lineage: Eukaryota; Metazoa; Chordata; Lepidosauria; Squamata; Lacertidae. The record is from RefSeq and is a predicted model, not a curated record.
AGAAAGUGUGCAAGAACGGUAGCCCUGCAGAUGUUGUUGGACUCCAUGUCCCUUCACACCCCAGCUAGCAUGACCAAUGUACAAGUCUGCAAUGCAAUUAAAGAGGAGCCAGAAGAUGAUUAAGAGCAGGAAACCACAAUCUCCAUGGAUGACUUGUCACAGUAGUUGUUCCUGGGACAUUUGCUCCUGAAAUUUUCGGCAAAGCUGAUAAAUUCUUCAUACUUUCUCAUUCCCACCCCUAAUAUCCUCUGUUCUGACAGUAACUUUUAAAAAAACAUUUUGUUGUUAACUGCUUUGAGAGAUGCCUGUAUUAGAAAAGCAAUGUAUAAAUGUUUGUUUGGAAA